GUGGCAGCCGCCGCGGUAAUACGUAGGCUACAAGCGUUACCCGGAUUUAUUGGGCGUAAAGGGUCUGUAGACGGUUUUUCAAGUCUGAUUUCAAAGCCUCCGACUCAAUCGGAGAAAGGGGUCAGAUACUGGGAGACUAGAGUCAUAUCGGGGUUACUGGAAUUUUUGGUGUAGGGAUUAAAUCCGUGGAUACCAAAAAGAACACCAAGCGCGAAGGCGGGUAACUAGGUAUGCACUGACGUUCAGAGACGAAAGCUAGGGUAGCAAAUCAGAUUAGAGACCUGAGUAGUCCUAGCCGUAAACAUUGUCCGUUAGUUCUUCUCGAUUUAUCGGGGGGGAUGUUAGCUAACGCGUUAAACGGACCGCCUGGGGAGUAUAGCCGCAAGGCCGAAACUUAAACGAAUUGGCGGGGAGGCGCACAACCAGUGGAGCAUGUGGUUCAAUUCGAUACAAAGCGAUGAACCUUACCUGGGCUUGAAAUGCACCUGCAGAUUCCUGAAAGGGAAAGUCCUUCGAGGGUGGUGCACAGCAGUUGCAUGGCUGUCGUCAGCUCGUGACGUGAGUUGUUCUCUUAAGUAAGGUAACGAGCGCAACCCCCAUUCUGUGUUAUUGUGUCACAGAAGACUGCCUAGCAUUAUUUUGUUAGGAGGAAGGAGGGGACGACGUCAAGUCAUCAUGAUGCUUAUGUCCAGGGCUACACACAUCCUACAAGGGGCUAUAACAGAGGGUUGCAAGACCGCAAGGUGGAGCUAAUCCCUAAACUAGCCCUCAGUUGGGAUUGCAGGCUGAAACUCGCCUGCAUGAACCCGGAAUUGGUAGUAAUCGCACAUCAGCAGCGUGCGGUGAAUACGUUCUCGCCUCUUGCACACACUGCCCGUCAAAUCAGCAAAGUUGGGGGUACCCAAAGGCUCUGGCUUGCCAGGGACUAAGGUAAAUCCAGCGAUGAGGGUUAAGUCGUAACAAGGUAACC
This 970-nucleotide ribosomal RNA is filed under the name uncultured bacterium. RNAcentral describes it as "bacterial SSU rRNA". It matches the Rfam family "Bacterial small subunit ribosomal RNA", at positions 505 to 1501 of the family's 1533-position model. The record is from RNAcentral.